RNAcentral lists this ribosomal RNA (858 nucleotides) under Pleurocera vestita. RNAcentral describes it as "partial 16S ribosomal RNA". It matches the Rfam family "Bacterial large subunit ribosomal RNA", at positions 1412 to 2571 of the family's 2925-position model. The record is from RNAcentral. Lineage: Eukaryota; Metazoa; Mollusca; Gastropoda; Pleuroceridae.
GUGUCGAUAAGAAAAUAAUUAUAAAAUAUUAAUUAUUUUAUAAAAUAUUUCUUCAUUAAUUUUUCUGAGGAUAAGCUCGGAAAAAAGUUAAGAUAUUUUACUGAUUUAGGUUGUUAUGUGAGCUUAAAAUUGGCCAUCAUAAGAGUUUGUUAUAAAACAACAAUCUUAAUAUUUAAAAUAAAUAUAUUUUAUUCUAAUUUUUUUACAGAAAUAAGAACUAUAAUUAAUAAAUGUUUUGUGCCUAUGCUAGGAUGAGUAUUAAAAUUUUGUAUAUUUAAGAAAGUUUUAUGUUUUUUCUUCAGAAAAGAUAUUAAUCAAACCAAACUAGUUAGAAGGAACUCGGCAAAUUCAAUGCUUUCGCCUGUUUAUCAAAAACAUGGCUCUUUGCAUUUAUUUUAUAAAGAGUCAGGCCUGCCCAGUGAAUAGUAUUUAACGGCCGCGGUACUCUGACCGUGCAAAGGUAGCAUAAUCAUUUGCCUUAUAAUUGAAGGCUAGUAUGAAUGGUUUAACGAAAGCAAUACUGUCUCCUUUCUACUUCCAAGAACUUAACCUUUAGGUGAAGAGGCCCAAAUUUAAUUGAAGGACAAGAAGACCCUGUCGAGCUUAAAAGAUAUUAUAGAAGUUUAUAUAUUUUUAGAUAAAUUUCCUAUUAAAGCUUUUUAGUUGGGGCGACUAAGGAACAAAAAAAGCUUCUUAUAAUAAAUAAACAACCGGGUUUUGAUCCGAUAAUAAUCGAUUAAAGGAAUUAGUUACCGCAGGGAUAACAGCAUAAUCCCUCUUGAGAGACCUAAUCGAAAGAGGGGGUUGUGACCUCGAUGUUGGACUAGAAUAUCCUAAAGAUGCAGAAGUCUUUAAGGG